UCUGUAAGUUUUGGGUUAAAUCUUUGUGCUCAACGCAUGGGCUGCCGAAAAUACUGCAGAGCUNGGGAGUGGGAGAGGUAGACGGUACUCGGUUGGAAGGGGUAAAAUCCUUUGAUCUAUCGAUGACCACCUUUGGCGAAGGCCGUCUACCCNAACCCGUNCGACGGUGAGGGAUCAACGCUGGGGGAGCUAACCGGAUUACAUGCCCCGGUAGUCCCAGCUGUUAACGAUGCAGACUCGAUGCUGCAUUGGCUUAUUGCCAAUGCCGUGU
Molecule: ribosomal RNA, 271 nt
Filed under: uncultured crenarchaeote
Lineage: Archaea; Thermoproteati; Thermoproteota
Description: partial 16S ribosomal RNA
Rfam family: Archaeal small subunit ribosomal RNA
Source: RNAcentral